CAGUCGAGCGGUAGCACAGGGGAGCUUGCUCUCUGGGUCACGAGCGGCACACGGGAGAAAUAUGUCUGGAAAACUGCCUGGUGGGGGGGGAUAACUUGUGAAAAGGGUCUAUAAUCCCGUAUAACCUCACAACACCAAAGGGGGGGCCCUUGGGGCCUUUUGCCNUCAUAUGCCCCCAGAGGGGAUUAGCUAGUGGGGGGGGUAAGGUCUCCCCUACGACAAUAUCCCUAUGUGGUCUGAGAAGAAGACCCCCCACUGUGGAACUGACACACGGCCCACACUCCUACGGGGGGCAGCUGUGGAAAAUAUUGCACAGGGGGCGCACGCCUGACGCACCCGUGCCGCGUGUAAGAAAAGCGUCUUCGGGUUGUAAAGUUUUUUCAGCGAAGAAGAGGGUUUUGUGGUUAAUCCCCACAGUGAUUGACUUUUCUCACAGAAAAAACCCCGGAUAUCUCCGUGCCCACCCCCGCGGUAAUGCAGAGGGUGCAAGCGUUUAUCAAAUUUACUGGGCAUAACGCGCACACGGGCGGUCUGUCGAGUCAGAUGUGAACUCCCCGGUCUCACUGUGAAAUCUGCAUUCAACUGUGGCGGGCUAGACUCGUGUAGAGGGGGAUAGAAUUCCGUGUGUAGCGGAGAAGUGCAUAGAUAUCUGGAAGUACACCUGUGGAGAGCGCGGCCCUGUGCAAAACACUGACUCUCGUGUGCAAAGCGUGGAGAGCACACGAGAUAUACACUGUGAUACUCCACCCCA
RNAcentral lists this ribosomal RNA (751 nucleotides) under Serratia ureilytica. RNAcentral describes it as "partial 16S ribosomal RNA". It matches the Rfam family "Bacterial small subunit ribosomal RNA", at positions 59 to 802 of the family's 1533-position model. Lineage: Bacteria; Pseudomonadati; Pseudomonadota; Gammaproteobacteria; Enterobacterales; Yersiniaceae. The record is from RNAcentral.